This 433-nucleotide ribosomal RNA is filed under the name uncultured bacterium. RNAcentral describes it as "partial 16S ribosomal RNA". It matches the Rfam family "Bacterial small subunit ribosomal RNA", at positions 29 to 507 of the family's 1533-position model. The record is from RNAcentral.
AACGAACGCUGGCGGCAGGCCUAACACAUGCAAGUCGAGCGAGGACUUCGGUUCUAGCGGCGGACGGGUGAGUAACGCGUGGGAAUGUGCCCUUCUCUACGGAAUAGCCCUGGGAAACUGGGAGUAAUACCGUAUACGCCCUUUUGGGGAAAGAUUUAUCGGAGAAGGAUCAGCCCGCGUUGGAUUAGGUAGUUGGUGGGGUAAUGGCCUACCAAGCCGACGAUCCAUAGCUGGUUUGAGAGGAUGAUCAGCCACACUGGGACUGAGACACGGCCCAGACUCCUACGGGAGGCAGCAGUGGGGAGUCUUAGACAAUGGGGGCAACCCUGAUCUAGCCAUGCCGCGUGAGUGAUGAAGGCCUUAGGGUUGUAAAGCUCUUUCAGCUGGGAAGAUAAUGACGGUACCAGCAGAAGAAGCCCCGGCUAACUCCGUG